RNAcentral lists this ribosomal RNA (465 nucleotides) under uncultured Sphingobacteriales bacterium. RNAcentral describes it as "bacterial SSU rRNA". It matches the Rfam family "Bacterial small subunit ribosomal RNA", at positions 917 to 1381 of the family's 1533-position model. Lineage: Bacteria; Pseudomonadati; Bacteroidota; Sphingobacteriia; Sphingobacteriales. The record is from RNAcentral.
CGGGGCCGCACAAGCGAGGAGCAUGUGGUUUAAUUCGAUGAUACGCGAGGAACCUUACCUGGGCUCGAACGUAAGAUGACUGUAGGUGAAAGCUUACAUCUCUUCGGAGCAUUUUACGAGGUGCUGCAUGGUUGUCGUCAGCUCGUGCCGUGAGGUGUCGGGUUAAGUCCCAUAACGAGCGCAACCCCUACCUUUAGUUGCCAUCAGGUUAAGCUGGGGACUCUAAAGGAACUGCCUACGCAAGUAGUGAGGAAGGCGGGGAUGACGUCAAAUCAGCACGGCCCUUACGUCCAGGGCUACACACGUGCUACAAUGGCCGAUACAGAGGGCAGCUACCUGGUGACAGGAUGCAAAUCUCCAAAGUCGGUCUCAGUUCGGAUCGGAGUCUGCAACCCGACUCCGUGAAGUUGGAUUCGCUAGUAAUCGCGCAUCAGCCAUGGCGCGGUGAAUACGUUCCCGGGCCUU